GUGCAGCAGGCGCGAAACUUUACAAUGUGCGAAAGCACGAUAAGGGAACUCUGAGUGCCUCCUAAGGAGGCUGUUCAGGUGUCUAAAAGCACCUGAAGGAAGGGCUGGGUAAGACCGGUGCCAGCCGCCGCGGUAACACCGGCAGCCCAAGUGGUAGCCACGUUUAUUGGGUCUAAAGCGUCCGUAGCCGGCUCGGCAAGUCCCCUGGGAAAUCUGGCGGCUCAACCGUCAGGCGUCCAGAGGAUACUGCUGGGCUUGGGACCGGAGAGGUGAGAGGUACCUCAGGGGUAGGGGUGAAAUCUUGUGAUCCCUGAGGGACCACCAGUGGCGAAGGCGUCUCACUAGAACGGGUCCGACGGUCAGGGACGAAAAGCUAAGGGGCGACGAACCGGAUUAGAUA
RNAcentral lists this ribosomal RNA (400 nucleotides) under uncultured microorganism. RNAcentral's name for it is "bacterial SSU rRNA". It matches the Rfam family "Archaeal small subunit ribosomal RNA", at positions 330 to 735 of the family's 1478-position model. The record is from RNAcentral.